Molecule: ribosomal RNA, 561 nt
Filed under: Devriesia sp. OTU54 TS-2013
Lineage: Eukaryota; Fungi; Ascomycota; Dothideomycetes; Mycosphaerellales; Teratosphaeriaceae
Description: eukaryotic LSU rRNA
Rfam family: Eukaryotic large subunit ribosomal RNA
Source: RNAcentral
AAACCAACAGGGAUUGCCCUAGUAACGGCGAGUGAAGCGGCAACAGCUCAAAUUUGAAAUCUGGCGCAAGCCCGAGUUGUAAUUUGUAGAGGAUGCUUCUAGGCAGCGGCCGGUCUAAGUCUCUUGGAACAGGGCGUCAUAGAGGGUGAGAAUCCCGUAUGUGACCGGCUGGCACCUUAUACGUAGCUCCUUCGACGAGUCGAGUUGUUUGGGAAUGCAGCUCUAAAUGGGAGGUAAAUUUCUUCUAAAGCUAAAUACCGGCCAGAGACCGAUAGCGCACAAGUAGAGUGAUCGAAAGAUGAAAAGCACUUUGGAAAGAGAGUUAAAAAGCACGUGAAAUUGUUGAAAGGGAAGCGCUUGCAACCAGACUUGUUGGCGGUGUUCCGCCGGUCUUCUGACCGGUCUACUCGCCGCCCGCAGGCCAGCGUCGUCUGGGGCCGCCGGAGAAAGGCGUUGGGAAUGUAGCUCCCUCGGGAGUGUUAUAGCCCAUCGCACAAUACGGCGCGCGCCGGGCGAGGUCCGCGCUUCGGCAAGGACGCUGGCGUAAUGGUCGUAAGCGGC